RNAcentral lists this long non-coding RNA (980 nucleotides) under Hordeum vulgare. RNAcentral's name for it is "long non-coding RNA (HVUL_LNC002046)". The record is from RNAcentral. Lineage: Eukaryota; Viridiplantae; Streptophyta; Magnoliopsida; Poales; Poaceae.
UAUAGCCAAUGACAAACGAGUCUCAAAUAGAAAGAAAACUAAAAAAAACUUGAUUGAUGGAAGACUGGAUUUGCGCUUUGCCUCGACGAUCUUCAUAAUAACAUGAAGCGCCUUUCAUACACAUUACGAAGGUUGUCAGGGCAUUUCCAGGGCGGACCUAUAAACCGCCCGCAUACGUCCAGACCGUACCACAAAAGCCAUCUAACACAAUCAUGUAUCGGUUCACGUCACGGUUUGGACAUACUUUCUCUCGAUAAAUGAAGAUAAACGUGAGGGAGUUUUGCGGGACUCCGAACAUCUCUGUGACCAACCAAAAGGCACCACAUAUCCAAUGACCAGCGUGCACCCGUCAUCUUUUUCACCCGACGCGAGUGAGCGCCGGGUGGGUCGCUGUUGGGCGCAGUGACACGCCGUACUUGCCAACAUAUACACGUCGCGUGCACUGAGCGUGACAGUGGCGGACUGGAUCUGGACGCGGCGACGCCGAUCGUCGCGAUCCUUGGACGACGAUUGUCUCGCACAUCUGGCCAGCCACCCCUGACACGGGGAGGCGUGUAUCGCGUGACGAAACGGGUUUACCCGGGGUCCUGCGCGCGUGCGCCACCAACACGCAGCUAGCAGCGUCCGGCGUGCACGGCAGGCAUCCCUUUCACCCCGAGCGCCACGGAACCGUACCUCCAACGUAGAAACGUCGUGUCAUGGCGUGGCAGCGGCGGACCGGAUCCGGACGCGGUGGCGCCGGCCGGCGACGUGGAAGGUCGUCGGCCGGGACGAUUGCCCCGCACAUCUGGCUCCCCGCGCGGCGCGACAAGUGUGUGCCUCGCCGUGCGCGCGACAAACAUUUCCUGGUGUUUUGUUUCCGGGUCGCGUCGCGUGGGUCGGGGCGGGCGGGGUCCGUCGCGGUGUGCAAGCCGACGAGGCGGCCCCGAUCGGUGGAUCGUGGUCACGCUCGUGCGCGCUGACACCCGCCGGAAAGGAUG